This 1386-nucleotide ribosomal RNA is filed under the name Planktothrix agardhii HAB237. RNAcentral describes it as "bacterial SSU rRNA". It matches the Rfam family "Bacterial small subunit ribosomal RNA". RNAcentral also lists the same sequence under 1 other name. Lineage: Bacteria; Bacillati; Cyanobacteriota; Cyanophyceae; Oscillatoriales; Microcoleaceae. The record is from RNAcentral.
UGCAAGUCGAACGGAAUCCUUAGGGAUUUAGUGGCGGACGGGUGAGUAACACGUAAGAACCUGCCUCUAGGACGGGGACAACAGUUGGAAACGACUGCUAAACCCGGAUGAGCCGAAAGGUAAAAGAUUAAUCGCCUAGAGAGGGGCUUGCGUCUGAUUAGCUAGUUGGUGAGGUAAGAGCCCACCAAGGCGACGAUCAGUAGCUGGUCUGAGAGGAUGAUCAGCCACACUGGGACUGAGACACGGCCCAGACUCCUACGGGAGGCAGCAGUGGGGAAUUUUCCGCAAUGGGCGAAAGCCUGACGGAGCAAGACCGCGUGGGGGAGGAAGGUUCUUGGAUUGUCAACCCCUUUUCUCAGGGAAGAACACAAUGACGGUACCUGAGGAAAAAGCAUCGGCUAACUCCGUGCCAGCAGCCGCGGUAAUACGGGGGAUGCAAGCGUUAUCCGGAAUGAUUGGGCGUAAAGAGUCCGUAGGUAGUCAUCCAAGUCUGCUGUUAAAGAGCGAGGCUUAACCUCGUAAAGGCAGUGGAAACUGGAAGACUAGAGUGUAGUAGGGGCAGAGGGAAUUCCUGGUGUAGCGGUGAAAUGCGUAGAGAUCAGGAAGAACACCGGUGGCGAAGGCGCUCUGCUGGGCUAUAACUGACACUGAGGGACGAAAGCUAGGGGAGCGAAUGGGAUUAGAUACCCCAGUAGUCCUAGCGGUAAACGAUGGAAACUAGGUGUGGCCUGUAUCGACCCGGGCCGUGCCGAAGCAAACGCGUUAAGUUUCCCGCCUGGGGAGUACGCACGCAAGUGUGAAACUCAAAGGAAUUGACGGGGGCCCGCACAAGCGGUGGAGUAUGUGGUUUAAUUCGAUGCAACGCGAAGAACCUUACCAGGACUUGACAUCUCUGGAAUCUCCUUGAAAGGGGAGAGUGCCGUAAGGAACCGGAAGACAGGUGCUGCAUGGCUGUCGUCAGCUCGUGUCGUGAGAUGUUGGGUUAAGUCCCGCAACGAGCGCAACCCUCGUCGUUAGUUGCCAUCAUUAAGUUGGGAACUCUAGCGAGACUGCCGGUGACAAACCGGAGGAAGGUGAGGAUGACGUCAAGUCAGCAUGGCCCUUACGUCCUGGGCGACACACGUACUACAAUGCGAGGGACACAGAGCAGCCAACCCGCGAGGGAGAGCGAAUCUCACAAACCCUGGCACAGUUCAGAUUGCAGGCUGCAACUCGCCUGCAUGAAGGAGGAAUCGCUAGUAAUCGCAGGUCAGCAUACUGCGGUGAAUCCGUUCCCGGGCCUUGUACACACCGCCCGUCACACCAUGGAAGUGAGCCACGCCCGAAGUCAUUACUCUAACCCUUUCGGGGGAGGAGGGUGCCGAACGCGGGGUUGAUGACUGGGGU